RNAcentral lists this ribosomal RNA (253 nucleotides) under uncultured bacterium. RNAcentral's name for it is "partial 16S ribosomal RNA". It matches the Rfam family "Bacterial small subunit ribosomal RNA", at positions 524 to 776 of the family's 1533-position model. The record is from RNAcentral.
UACGUAGGGUGCGAGCGUUGUCCGGAAUUAUUGGGCGUAAAGGGCUCGUAGGCGGUUUGUCGCGUCGGGAGUGAAAUCCAUUGGCUUAACUGGUGGCUUGCUUUCGAUACGGGCAGACUGGAGGUAUGCAGGGGAGAACGGAAUUCCUGGUGUAGCGGUGAAAUGCGCAGAUAUCAGGAGGAACACCGGUGGUGUAGACGGCUCUCUGGACCGUAACUGACGCUGAGACACGAAAGCGUGGGUAGCAAACAGG